UCAGAUAAACAAUUUGACUGGAGAAAGC
RNAcentral lists this non-coding RNA (28 nucleotides) under Bombyx mori (domestic silkworm). Lineage: Eukaryota; Metazoa; Arthropoda; Insecta; Lepidoptera; Bombycidae. The record is from RNAcentral.